AAAGCAUCUAAGCGGGAAGCGAGCCCUGAGAUGAGUCUUCCCUGAUACUUUAAGUAUCCUAAAGGGUUGUCGGAGACUACGACGUU
RNAcentral lists this ribosomal RNA (86 nucleotides) under Vibrio parahaemolyticus EN9701072. RNAcentral describes it as "partial 23S ribosomal RNA". Lineage: Bacteria; Pseudomonadati; Pseudomonadota; Gammaproteobacteria; Vibrionales; Vibrionaceae. The record is from RNAcentral.